UAAUACGUAGGGGGCGAGCGUUGUCCGGAAUUAUUGGGCGUAAAGGGUUCGCAGGCGGUCUGAUAAGUCAGAUGUGAAAGGCAAUGGCUCAACCAUUGUAAGCAUUUGAAACUGUCAGACUUGAGUUAAGGAGAGGAAAGUGGAAUUCCUAGUGUAGCGGUGAAAUGCGUAGAUAUUAGGAGGAAUACCAGUGGCGAAGGCGACUUUCUGGACUUAUACUGACGCUGAGGAACGAAAGCGUGGGGAGCAAACAGGAUUAGAUACCCUGGUAGUCCACGCCGUAGGCGAUGAGUGCUAGGUGUUGGGGGUCAAACCUCGGUGCCGCAGCUAACGCAUUAAGCACUCCGCCUGGGGAGUACGUACGCAAGUAUG
Molecule: ribosomal RNA, 372 nt
Filed under: uncultured bacterium
Lineage: Bacteria
Description: bacterial SSU rRNA
Rfam family: Bacterial small subunit ribosomal RNA
Source: RNAcentral